UGGGGAAUUUUGGACAAUGGGCGCAAGCCUGAUCCAGCCAUGCCGCGUGAGUGAAGAAGGCCUUCGGGUUGUAAAGCUCUUUCGGCGGGGACGAAACGGUUCGUGACAACACCACGGACUAAUGACGGUACCCGCAUAAGAAGCACCGGCUAACUACGUGCCAGCAGCCGCGGUAAUACGUAGGAUGCAGGCGUUAAUCGGAAUUACUGGGCGUAAAGCGUGCGCAGGCGGUUUGUUAAGACAGGUAUGAAAUCCCCGGGCUUAACCUGGGAAUUGCGCUUGUAACUGGCAGGCUAGAGUGUGGCAGAGGGGGGUGGAAUUCCACGUGUAGCAGUGAAAUGCGUAGAUAUGUGGAGGAACACCGAUGGCGAAGGCAGCCCCCUGGGUUAACACUGACGCUCAUGCACGAAAGCGUGGGGAGCAAACAGGAUUAGAUACCCACGUAGUCCCUGAGCGGGCUGGCAAGGCGCAU
RNAcentral lists this ribosomal RNA (472 nucleotides) under uncultured bacterium. RNAcentral describes it as "bacterial SSU rRNA". It matches the Rfam family "Bacterial small subunit ribosomal RNA", at positions 355 to 825 of the family's 1533-position model. The record is from RNAcentral.